This 190-nucleotide ribosomal RNA is filed under the name Acinetobacter baumannii. RNAcentral describes it as "partial 23S ribosomal RNA". It matches the Rfam family "Bacterial large subunit ribosomal RNA", at positions 1 to 195 of the family's 2925-position model. Lineage: Bacteria; Pseudomonadati; Pseudomonadota; Gammaproteobacteria; Moraxellales; Moraxellaceae. The record is from RNAcentral.
GGUUAAGUUAAUAAGGGCGCACGGUGGAUGCCUUGGCACUAGAAGCCGAUGAAGGACGUGACUAACGACGAAAUGCUUUGGGGAGCUGUAAGUGAGCAAUGAUCCAGAGAUGUCCGAAUGGGGGAACCCGGCAGGUAAUGCCUGUCACUCAUUACUGUUAAGGUAAUGUAGAGGAAGACGCAGUGAACUG